RNAcentral lists this ribosomal RNA (253 nucleotides) under uncultured bacterium. Its description in RNAcentral is "partial 16S ribosomal RNA". It matches the Rfam family "Bacterial small subunit ribosomal RNA", at positions 524 to 776 of the family's 1533-position model. The record is from RNAcentral.
UACAGAGGUGGCAAGCGUUGUUCGGAAUUACUGGGCGUAAAGCGCGCGCAGGCGGUUCUUCAAGUCAGAGGUGAAAGCCCAGAGCUCAACUCUGGAAUGGCCUUUGAGACUAGAGAACUAGGGUACGGGAGAGGUGAGUGGAAUUCCGAGUGUAGAGGUGAAAUUCGUAGAUAUCGAGAGGAACACCUGCGGCGAAGGCGGGUUGCUGGGCCGACACUGACGCUGAUGCGCGAAAGCCAGGGGAGCGAACGGG